GGAGUCCAGAGAGUUUAUAUGCAAUGUACUGAAAAGUGUAGGAAAGGGAAAAUCAUCAUUUUUGCUGGGAAGGAGCAUCAACAUAUACAAGGUCAAACAAAUGCCAAUCAGAUGUAUAGAGAUUGAGCUAAUCAAGCAUUGGGAAAAGGAAAUGGAUGUGAUGAUCUUUUCAUUCCCUUUCAGCCCUCUUUAUGGUAGCCUUCUCUCCUCAUUUUAUUUUUUCUUUAAGGUUUAUACACCCUAGUCCUCUAGACUAGCUGGCUGGAGAGUGGAAAUGGAGAUGUGAAAGGAAAUGGGAGAGACAGCAGUAUGGUGAAGUCCUUCAUCAAUGCUGGAUGGCUUGAAGCUGCUCUUUGCUGCUAGGAGUACAGGGGUGAUCAUUCUUUAAGCUCAUGAACAUGAGCUUAAAGAAAGUCACUGAGUUAACACAGGAGAUUUGUUGUAUUAACUCUAAUGUUUUUCCUACUAUAAGUAGAUUAGUGUUAAGACAGUGCUUGCUCCUGAUUUGCUAGGAAACCUAGGAUGACUCUCUCAGCUUUUUCAUGAACAUAGUAAGACCUGUGCGUGAUGGUGUAUCACAGCUGAAAUGGCUGUAACCUGUGUCAGAGAGAGCAGGACGAGUCAAGCUGAGCCCUGCAGAAGAGACAAAGAGGUUGGGGGUGUGACCUUCUGGAGCCAUAUUACAAUCAAGCUGAUCCUACUGGGACUCUGCAAGUCACAACAAGUGCCUACUAGCUCUAAGUCCUCUUAUCACCUAUCUUGGCAUUGAAGGUGACCUUGGAAUUUGUCCCACCUGAUGGAGAUUCCGUAUGUGUUGCAAAGGAGCUGCUUCACCUGCUACAGGGGCUGGAGCUGACUGGGGCAGCCCAAACAGUUUGAGGAGAGAACACCACCAGUGCACAGGAGGAGAAGGGACAUACGUUUUCCAUCUUCUCUCUCUUGUCACCUUCAACCUGUGGCAGCACAUGGACAGAGCUGGGACUGGAGCCUUUAACCACUGUGAAUGAGUUGCUGCUACCUCAGACACACAGGCCCCUGUGACCAUGGUCUGACUCUGCUUGCUGGCACAUAGAUCCUCAUGAAAACAUGCACAUAGAAUAGAGAGCCCUUGAUGCAGGAAAAUAAUCAGAAGCAGUUUGAUGAGAAGACAGAAGAGACAGCAGUGAUCAAGUAUGGAGCAUGUCCAGGUAGGUGUACUGAUCCGUAUCCUGUUUUCACAUGAUCAGCUUUUUUAUUCCCUUAGCCGUCUGUUUUCCCAUUGUUAUUCCUCCCCCAACCUCACUGAACCUUCCCUUUCCCCUCCUUUAGUUUCUCCCUUAAAUGUCCCACUGAAAUCUUAGGUAAUCCCACGGUGCUCUUCCCAUAUUGCAUAAUGGGCCCCAUACCCAUUGUGUAUUGUGCUGAAAGGUGAUUGGGAGUGCCUCUCCUGCUGACUCAUCUUCAUGUAUGUCACCCCUGAGACCAUGGGACUGACAGCUUUCCUGAGAUGGCUCAAGCCAGGUUGGGUCAGGGAUUGAGGAGAUUGUUGGGGUUCAUCCAUCCUCAUUCCUCAGUGCUCCCUUUGGUUUAGUCAUAUAACAUAAUAAUCACAGAGCAGACGGUCUUCUCUUCUGUAUCCCACUUCUUCCCUUGCAAUUGCUUAAAAUAAUUAUUCUUGUCCUGAAAAUAAAUAUUUGCCCCUAUUUUUCUAGCUCA
Molecule: long non-coding RNA, 1695 nt
Filed under: Anas platyrhynchos platyrhynchos (common mallard)
Lineage: Eukaryota; Metazoa; Chordata; Aves; Anseriformes; Anatidae
Description: lncRNA (ENSAPLG00000017299.1)
Source: RNAcentral